Molecule: non-coding RNA, 2156 nt
Organism: Nothobranchius furzeri (turquoise killifish)
Lineage: Eukaryota; Metazoa; Chordata; Actinopteri; Cyprinodontiformes; Nothobranchiidae
Source: RefSeq, a predicted model, not a curated record
ACCGGGCGUUCUAAACCCGCCCUCCUCGUUAAUUCCGCAGAUUCUUGAAUUUUGCCGAGACUGCGAGGAAAAAAAGGUUCCUAGAGGAAUUUUCUUACCGACUCUGCUGGAAACUCGGAAAGACUAAAAACAUGAACAAACCCUGAACCAAUUUUAAACGCUUACAAUGGCGCCGCUGCAGCGUGUGGACGUAACAAACAUGAAACCGGCAUAUUCGUGCUGAUCUUCUCAGAUUUUGAACCUCAGCGGACAGCAGCGCACUUGCGUGCGGACAAGACCUCCUUUAGAAAGGAGACGAGAAGAUGGCGAUGUCAGCGCUGGUUUUGCUGCUGGUUUUGUGCCUGGGGGUGUUUGGACUGGACCUGGUCUGGGCUCGAGACGGAUCGGAACUCAGUGCAGACAAAACUUUGGUGUGGGGGCCAGGCCUGGAGACGAACAUCGUCCUCCCUGCUCGGUUCUUCUACAUACAGGCAGCGGACAGCUUGGGGAAAAAUUUCACAACAUCGCCUGGUGACAAGGUCUUUCAAGUGAAGAUUGUGUCUCCAACGGAACACUUUACCAGGAUCUGGAUUCAAGUCCUGGAUCGUCGAGAUGGGUCUUUCCUGGUUCGCUACAGAAUGUACGCCACCUACGCCGACCUGCACAUCCACGUUCUGCUCAAGGACAGGCAUGUCGCAAAGUCACCGUAUAUCCUCAAAGGUCAUGUCUAUCACGAGGGUUGCAACUGUCCUCAGCUGAGUGGUUCUGAUUGGGAGGCGGACAUGCACUGUCCUCAGUCCUUUACCCAGGUUAACAGGGACCUGUCCCUUUACCCCUCUGUGGACCCGUAUCUCAAUGCACAAGAGAUCCCGAAGCGCUUUGGAGAGCGCCAAAGCCUCUGCCACUACACGAUCAAGAACAACAAGGUUUAUGUGAAAACGUACGGAGAGCAUGUUGGUUUUAGAAUCUUCAUGGAUGCUAUUCUGUUGUCGAUCACAAGGAAGGUGUGGCUCCCUGACUUGGAGUUCUUUGUGAACCUGGGUGACUGGCCACUGGAGAAGAGGAAACCCACAGAGAAGCUCCAUCCUAUCUUCUCCUGGUGUGGCUCCAACAACACCAGAGACAUCGUCAUGCCCACUUAUGACCUGACAGAGUCCGUUCUUGAGACCAUGGGGAGAGUGAGUUUGGACAUGAUGUCCGUCCAGGCCAACACGGGGCCGCCGUGGUCGGAGAAGAACGCCACAGCCUUCUGGAGGGGGCGGGACAGUCGUCAGGAGCGUCUGGAGCUGGUCAAGCUUUCCAGGGCACACCCCGACACGAUAGAUGCUGCGUUUACCAACUUCUUCUUCUUCAAACACGAUGAGAGCCUCUAUGGGCCGAUGGUCAAACACGUCUCCUUUUUUGACUUUUUUAAGUACAAGUACCAAAUAAACAUUGAUGGUACUGUAGCGGCGUACCGUCUGCCGUACCUGCUGGCUGGAGACAGUGUGGUCCUGAAGCAGGAUUCUGGAUACUAUGAGCAUUUCUACCACCAGCUGCGACCGUGGGAACAUUACAUCCCUGUUAAAGCAGACCUGGGAGAUCUGCUGGAAAAGAUCCGCUGGGCUCAAGACCACGAUGAAGAGGCAAAGAAAAUUGCACUUGCAGGACAGCGGUUUGCACGCAGCCACCUUAUGGGAGAUGGUGUCUUUUGCUACUACUACAAACUAUUUAAGGAAUAUGCUAAACUCCAGAUCACUGAGCCUAAUGUUCGGAAGGACAUGGUGCUUGUUGAGCAGCCCACUGAUGACCUGUUCCCAUGCUCCUGCCACCGGACUCCGCUGCUGAAGUCGCCGACGCCGGUUGCAGUUACACCUCCUGACCGCUAGAUGGCUCGCCUUCGUUGUCGAGCUUCAUUUUUAAUUAAGAAGCAGAUGCAAUCAAUGGCGACGUUUGAUGAGGAACAGGUGAAGGUCCCGUUUGGGACAAAAGUACUGGAUGCUGCUUUGUGUGUCCCAGCCUCAGUAAAAGAUGUCCAUACAGCUGUUGUACUCACACACGGAGCAGGGGGAGACAUGAACUACAAACAUCUGGUUUCUCUGGCACACACUUUAGCAUCAAAUGGUUUCAUCUGCCUUCGUUUUACGUGUAAAGGCUUAAAUCUGAGUUAUAGAGUUAAGGCGUAUUGUGCAGUGUGG